GACAGAGCAGAUACUCUGCAGCCUAUGUAUUACAGAAUUCUGAGACAUGUUUGUUACCUCUAAUCUUUGACCGUGUUUUUUCUUUUUCUUUUCCUUAUACAGGGACCUCAGGGCAGGUCGGGGUUGCCUGGAUUACCUGGAGCUGAUGGGCCUCCUGGUCAUCCCGGUAAGGAGGGCCCACCUGGAGAGAAAGGAGCCCAGGGUCCCUCUGGUCCACAGGGUCCUAUUGGUUAUCCUGGCCCUCGUGGUGUCAAGGGUGCCGACGGCGUUCGUGGUCUCAAGGGAGGGAAGGGAGAGAAGGGCGAGGAUGGUUUCCCAGGUUUCAAGGGU
Molecule: long non-coding RNA, 330 nt
Filed under: Sparus aurata (gilthead seabream)
Lineage: Eukaryota; Metazoa; Chordata; Actinopteri; Spariformes; Sparidae
Description: lncRNA (ENSSAUG00010006462.1)
Source: RNAcentral